Molecule: ribosomal RNA, 523 nt
Filed under: uncultured bacterium
Lineage: Bacteria
Description: bacterial SSU rRNA
Rfam family: Bacterial small subunit ribosomal RNA
Source: RNAcentral
AGAGUUUGAUCAUGGCUCAGGACGAACGCUGGCGGCGUGCUUAAUACAUGCAAGUCGAGCGAGGUUACUGUUUUGGAUCCCUUCGGGGUGAAGAAGCUUUAACCUAGCGGCGGACGGGUGAGUAACGCGUGGGUAACCUACCCCAAAGUCCGGGAUAACAGCGGGAAACCGCUGCUAAUACCGGAUGUCUUUACCUUGGGGCAUCUUGAGGUAAAGAAAGGCAACGCUUUGGGAUGGGCCCGCGUCCCAUUAGCUAGUUGGUGAGGUAACGGCUCACCAAGGCGACGAUGGGUAGCCGGCCUGAGAGGGUGGACGGCCACACUGGGACUGAGACACGGCCCAGACUCCUACGGGAGGCAGCAGUAGGGAAUAUUGCGCAAUGGACGGAAGUCUGACGCAGCGACGCCGCGUGAGCGAUGAAGGUCUUCGGAUCGUAAAGCUCUGUCCUUGGGGAAGAAGGCGAAAGCUUGACGGUACCCAAGAAGAAAGCCCCGGCUAACUACGUGCCAGCAGCCGCGGUAAU